UACGUAGGGUGCAAGCGUUAAUCGGAAUUACUGGGCGUAAAGCGUGCGCAGGCGGUUUUGUAAGUCUGUCGUGAAAUCCCCGGGCUCAACCUGGGAAUUGCGAUGGAGACUGCAAGGCUAGAAUCUGGCAGAGGGGGGUAGAAUUCCACGUGUAGCAGUGAAAUGCGUAGAGAUGUGGAGGAACACCGAUGGCGAAGGCAGCCCCCUGGGUCAAGAUUGGACGCUCAUGCACGAAAGCGUGGGGAGCAAACGAGGAU
This 257-nucleotide ribosomal RNA is filed under the name uncultured bacterium. RNAcentral describes it as "partial 16S ribosomal RNA". It matches the Rfam family "Bacterial small subunit ribosomal RNA", at positions 524 to 779 of the family's 1533-position model. The record is from RNAcentral.